CCAGUUCACCCAGCUGGUCCAACGCCAACGCCGGCCCCAGAACCCAAGACUCUGCCGCUCCAGCUGCCUGUGCUGAGCCCGUUGCCGAAAGCCGACAAGCUGCUGGAUGCUAACCCAGGAUACUCCGCUGGUCCCACGACUACGCCUGCUCCGCAGCCUGAGGCUCUGCCAUUGACAACAACAAUCAAAGUUACGGUGGUGCCUUUAGAUUUGGUUUUGCAGGCUGGACGUAAUGAUCAAGGCCCUCUGGAAGCGCGACACUGCCCUACAGUGACAACAAAAGACCAAGAAACCCAGUGGGAAGCUCUGGAACUAGAGGACCAC
Ixodes scapularis (black-legged tick) is the source of this 324-nucleotide long non-coding RNA. RefSeq lists it as uncharacterized. The transcript is spliced from 4 exons. NCBI's taxonomy places the organism in Eukaryota, Metazoa, Arthropoda, Arachnida, Ixodida, Ixodidae. The record is from RefSeq and is a predicted model, not a curated record.